RNAcentral lists this ribosomal RNA (433 nucleotides) under uncultured bacterium. RNAcentral's name for it is "partial 16S ribosomal RNA". It matches the Rfam family "Bacterial small subunit ribosomal RNA", at positions 29 to 507 of the family's 1533-position model. The record is from RNAcentral.
AACGAACGCUGGCGGCAUGCCUAACACAUGCAAGUCGAACGAGACCUUCGGGUCUAGUGGCGCACGGGUGCGUAACGCGUGGGAACCUGCCCUUAGGUUCGGAAUAACUCCCCGAAAGGGGUGCUAAUACCGGAUAAUGUCUUCGGACCAAAGAUUUAUCGCCUUUGGAUGGGCCUGCGUUGGAUUAGCUAGUUGGUAGGGUAAAAGCCUACCAAGGCGACGAUCCAUAGCUGGUCUGAGAGGAUGAUCAGCCACACUGGGACUGAGACACGGCCCAGACUCCUACGGGAAGCAGCAGUGGGGAAUAUUGGACAAUGGGCGAAAGCCUGAUCCAGCAAUGCCGCGUGAGUGAUGAAGGCCUUAGGGUUGUAAAGCUCUUUUACCCGGGAUGAUAAUGACAGUACCGGGAGAAUAAGCUCCGGCUAACUCCGUG